RNAcentral lists this transfer RNA (71 nucleotides) under Ictidomys tridecemlineatus (thirteen-lined ground squirrel). RNAcentral's name for it is "Spermophilus tridecemlineatus (thirteen-lined ground squirrel) tRNA". It matches the Rfam family "tRNA". From Rfam's summary of the family: Transfer RNA (tRNA) molecules are approximately 80 nucleotides in length. Lineage: Eukaryota; Metazoa; Chordata; Mammalia; Rodentia; Sciuridae. The record is from Rfam by way of RNAcentral.
GAGGUUAUAGCUCAGUGGUAGAGCACUUGUUUAGCAUGUGUGAGGCACUGGGUUCGAUUCUCAGAACCACA